Molecule: transfer RNA, 66 nt
Filed under: Tritonia tetraquetra
Lineage: Eukaryota; Metazoa; Mollusca; Gastropoda; Nudibranchia; Tritoniidae
Description: tRNA-Glu
Source: RNAcentral
GUCUGGAUGGUGUAUAAAAUCACGCUACCUUUUCGAGGUAGAGAAGAAUUUUAGUUCUCCAGAUCG